AUGAAUGGCAACCUUUACUUGAUAUGGUCAGGAAAAUGGUCCCGGGCUGGCAGAGAGGGGUUCAUCCAGAGGUCGGGUAGAUUGGUGUUGGUCAAAUCCGUUAUCUCAGCCAGACUAGUCCACCAAUUGCUAAUCCCGGAUGCACCUGAUUGGGUGUUCGAAGAAAUAGACACAUGGAUGAGAUCCUUCUUUUGGGCGGGCAAGGACAAAACAAAUGGUGGCCAAUGCUUGGUGGCAUGGAACACCAUCUGCAGGCCCACAUGCUUUGGUGGACUGGGAGUCAAAAAUCUGAAACUCCAAGCUCUGGCGCUAAGGGCUAGGUGGGAGUGGUUGAGCAGAGUUGACAAGGAGAGGCCAUGGAGCAAUCUU
This 369-nucleotide ribosomal RNA is filed under the name Triticum aestivum (bread wheat). RNAcentral describes it as "partial small subunit ribosomal RNA". The record is from RNAcentral. Lineage: Eukaryota; Viridiplantae; Streptophyta; Magnoliopsida; Poales; Poaceae.